CAAAAUUCAAAAACUCAAAUCUCUCUCCAUCGUUCUCUUUGCCUGCCGGUACGGAAGCUCAGCACCGUCACCGGAGUAAACGCAAAAACUUUGCUCGCAAUGCAAACAGAGGAACCGCCGUUAGAGACUUUUCAUCUGUUUCCGAAAACCGAGGCUCGAUCCCUUCGCAGUUACUUAGCAAAGAUAGCUGUCGUGGCUUAUGGCCGUCACCGGGGAAGCAAUCAGCGAUUGGAUCACCGUCGAGCAGCAGAGAUGAAGAAUAACAAUCCAGAAGUGAUGAUGGCUGUUGAUGCAGCAGCGAGGAGAAAGAACAGCGGCAGCGGCGAGUGGUGUUCCUGCCAACAGUGAAGAAGUUGUAGCUAGAAGCAAGUUGAUGACACGGUGAAGAGAACGAGAGCUCUGAGAUCCUACCAUCGACGGUGUUGUGGAGCCUGCAACUGAACACUGUGCCAAUCCGAAGAUAUGCUUCUUUCAUGUUCUCUUCAAGGUGUGCAUAUAAAAGGGUUUCAUUCAAAUGAAUAGUGGCCAAGCUAUUGGAAUGCUUCUGAAAUUUGUGAACCAUAUCAGUGCAUACAGUAACGAUUUGUACAUUGUCUCAUAUGAAAUGAGCGUGCAUGUAAUCCUCUUCUUCUUAAGGUAAGUCAUUCUAAUUUAACUGGACUUUGAAGGGGUUCCUUUGUUGGAUGGCAAACAUUAAUAUUUAACUAAGUUUAUAUGUAUUGUAAUAUUGUCUAACUAAUUUUGUUCUUCCUUCUCUGGCCAUUGUGGAUGCAUUCUUCAAUAGAUGUUUCAUAAAUUGAUGCUGAUGGCAAACAGGCAAAGUAACUAAACAUUAUUAUUAAGUUUAUUGGAACCUGUAUAUAUUAUGUAGUUCUUAUUUUUUAAAAAUUUAGAUGGUUAGUGAUUUUAUUAAUUCACACCUUAUCAUGUGAGAACAGCAAAUCUAUAGAAGCUUAGCAUGGUGAGUUAUCAAAUCUUAUGCCUUAUUGGCUUAUUCUUAGUUAUUUUGGAUGGUAUAUGGGCACAUCUAUAGAAGUGUAAACUGUAAAAGAAACUA
Long non-coding RNA from Arachis stenosperma, 1057 nucleotides. RefSeq lists it as uncharacterized. NCBI's taxonomy places the organism in Eukaryota, Viridiplantae, Streptophyta, Magnoliopsida, Fabales, Fabaceae. The transcript is spliced from 3 exons. The record is from RefSeq and is a predicted model, not a curated record.